Bombus pascuorum is the source of this 567-nucleotide long non-coding RNA. RefSeq lists it as uncharacterized. The transcript is spliced from 3 exons. The record is from RefSeq and is a predicted model, not a curated record. NCBI's taxonomy places the organism in Eukaryota, Metazoa, Arthropoda, Insecta, Hymenoptera, Apidae.
UGUCGGCGUUGAGCGUAUAAUGCUUGCUCGACCUUUGAUUCGUUUCAAUUCGAUUCGAAAGUUCCAAGUUCGAUUCGGAUGAACGCGCGUGUCAUCGUGUGUAGCGGAUAAGUCGCGACUUUAGCGAACUGUAUUCUUUGAACGAGCGUUAAUCCGAAGAUGCUCUUGAGAUACUCGGACGGCUUGAGCAGAGUGUUGGAGUCCGCGUUGGCGAACUUGGGCGGUAUGAACGGUAGCACCAUAUGUUUAUUGACCAGAUGGGACGUUUGGUUCGUCUUAAUUUCCUCGGUGUCCGCCGGUGGACUGGCAGGAGGCACUUCCGGCUGCUGAUGCUCGCCGCAGGAUACGUCGGACUUGUUGAUCGCUGUUCCGAAACAGAAACGAGGUGGGGGAAACGAAUCGUAGUACGCGUCGGACAAGUGAAAUCUAGGUUCCGCGUUUUGCUUGGCGUUCACCACGAGCACCACGACGUCUUCCUUCUCCGGUAGUGGGGGCGGUGGUGGUGGAGGCGGUGGCUUGGCGAAGCUGAGAAAGACGCGCGAUGCAGGGAAAGAAGAAGAAGAAGAA